GCGCCCGUAGCUCAGUGGUUAGAGCACCGCCCUUAUAAGGCGGGGGUCGACGGUUCAAAUCCAUCCGGGCGCACCA
This 76-nucleotide transfer RNA is filed under the name Patescibacteria group bacterium. RNAcentral describes it as "tRNA-Ile". It matches the Rfam family "tRNA". Rfam says of the family: Transfer RNA (tRNA) molecules are approximately 80 nucleotides in length. The record is from RNAcentral.